GCGCAGUACGCCGGCGCCGCUUGCAGGCUGCUGAGGGAGCGUCACCCGGGCGACCAUGCCGGCGCGGGGGGCGAAGUGGGGCCGCGUCGCGGACCAGCGGGUCCAGCAGCUGCAGCACCAAGUGCGAGUCAAAGAAGAACGAAUUGUUGAACUGGAAACUGAAAAUUCUAUUCUUCAUCUGAAGUUGGCAGAGUACCAAGAAAUGAUUGGAAAAAGUAACAGAGAGGCCACACGGUUUUACUUUCUGUACAACGAAAAGCAGUAUUUGCAGAGAAAUAUACAUUCCACGUUAAUCAAGCUUUACCAAGUAAUUCAGAAACUUAAACAAGAUAUAAAGGAGUUUCAUUCUUCUUGUCUGGAACUUAUAAGAAAUUAUCAAGAUCAGUAUCGGGUCUGUCUGUCUGAGAUAGUGACUGCAGUCCACAGAACACAGCUCUACAAUGAGGCCCUACAGUCACAUCAGUCAAGAGCAGUUCAUCUUGAGAAGUGCUUACAAGAAAUAAAUGAGCAAUAUCAAAUUGAAAAACAGAAGAGAAAAUUGCUUCACAAUAGUUUGGUGGAGCUGAAAGGAAAUAUCAGAGUUCACUGUCGAAUUCGUCCUUUGUUGCCUUUUGAUAAUGAAUUUGAUGAUCCAGUACAGAACAGCUCCCUCUGUGAAAAAGCAAUACAUGCAGUUGAUGAUGAAACAGUCCUGGUGAAAUGUAAUCGUCCUGGUCACCCUUUGAUUAAUAAGACGUAUAAUUUUGAAAGAGUUUAUGGUCCAGCAGAAUCUCAGAGAACAGUAUUUGGAGAAAUACGCCCACUACUCAUGUCUCUCUUGGAUGGGUACAAUGUUUGCAUUAUGGCUUAUGGACAGACAGGAAGUGGGAAGAGCUACACAAUGCUGGGACCACAUCUUCCAGAUGACCCUGCUCUGUCUUUAGACUCUCACGGUGAUUUAGGAAUUAUUCCCAGGGCUGCUGAAGAACUCUUCAGGCUUAUUUCAGAAAACCCAUCAAGGAGCCCAGAAGUUGAAGUUUCCAUAGUGGAAAUUUAUAAUAAUGAAAUUUUUGACCUUUUGGCUAAAGACAGUUGUACACUGGUGUCUGGGGUCAAGCGUGAUGUGAUUACCACCAAAGAAGGAAAGAAGGAGCUCUCCCGGCUGACCUACAAGAGCGUGAGCAGUGCAGUGGCUCUCAUGGGGCUUGUGGCCGGGGGCCUGCGGCUCCGGGUGAAGCACCCCACCUUGGUGCACACGGACUCCUCCAGGUCCCACCUGGUGAUCACAGUGACGCUGACGGCAGCCAGCCCGCCUGACAGCUCCCACCAGCAGCCAAACCCGAUGCUCAAGGAGCUCAUCUGCCCCUCAGCUCCACGGACGGCAGGAGGCGAGGGACCCAGGGCUUCCCGCAGAGCCUCGUCCCCAGGGGCAGGUCCCGUGGGCGCUGCGGGGCCACCGAGGCAGGCCCAGGCCAGGCUGCAGCUCGUGGAUCUGGCUGGCAGUGAGUGUGUUGGUGCGUCCGGGGUGACGGGACUGGCCCUGAGGGAGACGUCGUGUAUCAACCGGAGUUUGGCCGCCCUGGCCGACGUUCUGGGAGCCCUGGCGGAGCGCCGCGGCCACGUGCCCUACCGGAACAGCAGGCUCACCCACUUCCUGCAGGACUCCAUCGGGCACGCGGGCUUCCGGAUUCUGAACUCCAUGACUUGACCUCCCCACUGAGCCGCUCUGGGCCCCUCGGACAUGCCUGCACUGGGGAGCGGUGGCCCAGGGCAGGACAGGGAGCCCACCCCGGUGGCCCAGCAAGCUCCAGGAGCUGAGGGGCAGCAGGAGGGAGGGAAGGAGCAGGACUGCGCACACCCGGUUUUUCCUACCCAAUUUGGCCAGCAGAUGAAGAGGCGACGCAAAGUUGCUGGUGAUGCUGUGUGUGUCCCCCUGCCAAAAGCACUUGGCAGAAACGCUGCAGUGCCUGGGAUUUGGAAGCCGGGCCCGGCAG
RNA transcript from Choloepus didactylus (southern two-toed sloth), 1973 nucleotides. It is a transcript of the gene named kinesin family member 25, with no coding region annotated. The transcript has 16 exons. Lineage: Eukaryota; Metazoa; Chordata; Mammalia; Pilosa; Megalonychidae. The record is from RefSeq and is a predicted model, not a curated record.